Molecule: long non-coding RNA, 578 nt
Filed under: Malus domestica (apple)
Lineage: Eukaryota; Viridiplantae; Streptophyta; Magnoliopsida; Rosales; Rosaceae
Description: long non-coding RNA (MDOM_LNC012604)
Source: RNAcentral
AACGAAAAAGUCUGCCAGAGUUAGAUCUUCUUUCAUGAUCAAUUCUCCGAACAAGGGGUGGUCUACUGGGAAUCCUUUUUGGAAGGCUACACUAGCUAUUGAGUCAUCGCAUAAUCUUUACCUUCUCUGCUUUGAACCUCUUCACAUAGUCGCCAAGCAACUUCUUUGGAUUCUUCUUCACAUUGAACAAGUGAUUAGACUUCUUCUUUAUCGAUCGAUAUGAUGAAUACACUUUGGUGAAAACCAAAGAAAGCUCAUCAAAACUUCAGAUGGAUUGUGGUGGCAAGGAUUGGAACCAAUCUUGCGCCUCGCCUUGUAAAGUAGUGGCGAAUAUCCUGCACAUGAGAGCGUCGUUGUUCCGAUAAAGGACCAUUGUGCUUUGGUAGUGCUUCAAGUGUAUCUCUGGGUCUCCAUCUCCUUUAAAGGGUGUGAAAUGUGGCAUGCUGAACUUGCAUUGAGGCUCUGCCUACUCAAUCUCGUCUGUGAAGGGUAACCGACUUAUGUUGGUCAUGUCUCGUCGUAAUGCCUCAUCAGUGACCUCGUUGCGUUGGAAAUCAGGCAAUCGCUCGGUCAUGAGC